This 740-nucleotide ribosomal RNA is filed under the name Pseudoalteromonas sp. CCH-45. RNAcentral's name for it is "bacterial SSU rRNA". It matches the Rfam family "Bacterial small subunit ribosomal RNA", at positions 45 to 780 of the family's 1533-position model. Lineage: Bacteria; Pseudomonadati; Pseudomonadota; Gammaproteobacteria; Alteromonadales; Pseudoalteromonadaceae. The record is from RNAcentral.
GGCCUAACACAUGCAAGUCGAGCGGUAACAGAGAGUAGCUUGCUACUUUGCUGACGAGCGGCGGACGGGUGAGUAAUGCUUGGGAACAUGCCUUGAGGUGGGGGACAACAGUUGGAAACGACUGCUAAUACCGCAUAAUGUCUACGGACCAAAGGGGGCUUCGGCUCUCGCCUUUAGAUUGGCCCAAGUGGGAUUAGCUAGUUGGUGAGGUAAUGGCUCACCAAGGCAACGAUCCCUAGCUGGUUUGAGAGGAUGAUCAGCCACACUGGGACUGAGACACGGCCCAGACUCCUACGGGAGGCAGCAGUGGGGAAUAUUGCACAAUGGGCGCAAGCCUGAUGCAGCCAUGCCGCGUGUGUGAAGAAGGCCUUCGGGUUGUAAAGCACUUUCAGUCAGGAGGAAAGGUUAGUAGUUAAUACCUGCUAGCUGUGACGUUACUGACAGAAGAAGCACCGGCUAACUCCGUGCCAGCAGCCGCGGUAAUACGGAGGGUGCGAGCGUUAAUCGGAAUUACUGGGCGUAAAGCGUACGCAGGCGGUUUGUUAAGCGAGAUGUGAAAGCCCCGGGCUCAACCUGGGAACUGCAUUUCGAACUGGCAAACUAGAGUGUGAUAGAGGGUGGUAGAAUUUCAGGUGUAGCGGUGAAAUGCGUAGAGAUCUGAAGGAAUACCGAUGGCGAAGGCAGCCACCUGGGUCAACACUGACGCUCAUGUACGAAAGCGUGGGGAGCAAACAGGAUUA